RNAcentral lists this long non-coding RNA (453 nucleotides) under Gallus gallus (chicken). Lineage: Eukaryota; Metazoa; Chordata; Aves; Galliformes; Phasianidae. The record is from RNAcentral.
CUGUUGAUGUUAAGGCAAGUGAAGACUGGCUCCCAGCACAAACUUUUCGAAUAAACAUUCCUUGCAAGGCUUCUAUAACUUUAGGUUUAUAUACUCUAUUUGUAUCACCAUGACCAAGUUUGCCAUUAUCUCCUCCUCCAAAUGACCAUACCGUUCUGCCAUCUUUGGACAGAGCUAUUGUGUGUGAACUGCCACAGGAAACCUCUCCUACAUUGCUAAUAUCUUUUACUAAAGUCGGAAUGUUGCGGCUGUUGCUGUCACCGUGACCUAAUCUCCCAAAGUCUCCUUCUCCCCAUGUAUACAGCUCUCCAUCUUCGGUAACAGCAGCACUAUGUCUGUAUCCAGCUGACACACAUACAACAACCUUUCCUUGCAGCGGGCCCUGAAUAAGUUUGGGAUAUUUCUGAGUUGAACUGUUUCCGUGUCCCAGUUUUCCAUAGUCACCAUCACCCC